Gossypium arboreum is the source of this 130-nucleotide non-coding RNA. The record is from Rfam. NCBI's taxonomy places the organism in Eukaryota, Viridiplantae, Streptophyta, Magnoliopsida, Malvales, Malvaceae.
UGUUGAAAUUUUCAUUUCUUUUUACUGUUAAAAAUUGAUGUGGUUGACAGAAUAAUCAGAAAGUUACGCGUAUCUCAUUCUGAUGUAUAGGGAACAAUUUUUAAUAGUAGAAAUAGAUAAAUUUUUAAUA